GAGUUUGAUCGUGGCUCAGAAUCAACGCUGGCGGCGUGCCUAAUACAUGCAAGUCGUACGCGAAGACCCCGCAAGGGGUGUAUAGCGUGGCAAACGGGUGAGUAACGCGUAGGCGACCUGCCUUCGAGUGGGGGAUAACCUUCCGAAAGGAGGGCUAAUACCGCAUGACAUACCGUGUUUGGAUACACGGACAUCAAAGCCGGGGAUCGCAAGACCUGGCGCUUGAAGAGGGGCCUACGUCCGAUUAGCUAGUUGGUGGGGUAAUGGCUCACCAAGGCGACGAUCGGUAUCCGGCCUGAGAGGGCGGACGGACACACUGGAACUGAGACACGGUCCAGACUCCUACGGGAGGCAGCAGUAGGGAAUUGUUCGCAAUGGGCGCAAGCCUGACGACGCAACGCCGCGUGGAGGAUGAAGGGCUUCGGCUCGUAAACUCCUUUCGACCGAGAUGAAUAUCCUUUGGCCUAAUACGCCGAAGGACUGACAGUAUCGAGGGAAGAAGCCCCGGCUAACUCCGUGCCAGCCGCCGCGGU
This 533-nucleotide ribosomal RNA is filed under the name uncultured Acidobacteriota bacterium. Its description in RNAcentral is "bacterial SSU rRNA". It matches the Rfam family "Bacterial small subunit ribosomal RNA", at positions 9 to 521 of the family's 1533-position model. The record is from RNAcentral. Lineage: Bacteria; Pseudomonadati; Acidobacteriota.